UCCAGUAUUUCUUGUUCCUACGAAAAU
This 27-nucleotide small RNA is filed under the name Bombyx mori (domestic silkworm). RNAcentral's name for it is "ovarian small RNA-26869". The record is from RNAcentral. Lineage: Eukaryota; Metazoa; Arthropoda; Insecta; Lepidoptera; Bombycidae.